CCUACGGGGGGCUGCAGUAAGGAAUAUUGGUCAAUGGACGAAAGUCUGAACCAGCCAUCCCGCGUGCAGGAUGACUGCCCUAUGGGUUGUAAACUGCUUUUAGUAGAGAAGAAACGCAGUCAUUUAUGAUUGCCUGACGGUACCUACAGAAUAAGCACCGGCUAACUCCGUGCCAGCAGCCGCGGUAAUACGGAGGGUGCGAGCGUUAUCCGGAAUCACUGGGUUUAAAGGGUGCGUAGGCGGGGAAUUAAGUCAGUGGUGAAAUCUUGUCGCUU
RNAcentral lists this ribosomal RNA (275 nucleotides) under uncultured bacterium. Its description in RNAcentral is "partial 16S ribosomal RNA". It matches the Rfam family "Bacterial small subunit ribosomal RNA", at positions 338 to 610 of the family's 1533-position model. The record is from RNAcentral.